This 427-nucleotide ribosomal RNA is filed under the name uncultured bacterium. RNAcentral describes it as "bacterial SSU rRNA". It matches the Rfam family "Bacterial small subunit ribosomal RNA", at positions 97 to 520 of the family's 1533-position model. The record is from RNAcentral.
GGCGGACGGGUGAGGAAUGCAUCGGAAUCUGCCUUUUUGUGGGGGAUAACGUAGGGAAACUUACGCUAAUACCGCAUACGUCCUACGGGAGAAAGUGGGGGACCGCAAGGCCUCACGCAGAAAGAUGAGCCGAUGCCGGAUUAGCUAGUUGGCGGGGUAAAGGCCCACCAAGGCGACGAUCCGUAGCUGGUCUGAGAGGAUGAUCAGCCACACUGGAACUGAGACACGGUCCAGACUCCUACGGGAGGCAGCAGUGGGGAAUAUUGGACAAUGGGCGCAAGCCUGAUCCAGCCAUGCCGCGUGAGUGAAGAAGGCCUUCGGGUUGUAAAGCUCUUUUGUUGGGGAAGAAAAGCAUUCGAUUAAUAUUCGGGUGUUCUGACGGUACCCAAAGAAUAAGCACCGGCUAACUUCGUGCCAGCAGCCGCGG